UAAUGGCCUACCAAGGCGACAACCCGUAGCUGGUCUGAGAGGACGACCAGCCACACCGGAAGUGAGACACGGUCCGGACUCCUACGGGAGGCAGCAGUGGGGAAUAUUGGACAAUGGGGGAAACCCUGAUCCAGCGACGCCGCGUGUGUGAAGAAGGCCUUCGGGUUGUAAACCCCUUUCAGUUGGGACGAAGCUCCGUCGGUGAAUAGCCGGUUGGAGUGACGGUACCUUCAGAAGAAGCCCCGGCUAACUACGUGCCAGCAGCCGCGGUAAUACGUAGGGGGCAAGCGUUGUCCGGAAUCAUUGGGCGUAAAGAGCGUGUAGGUGGCUCGGUAAGUCCGCUGUAAAAGUCCUGGGCUCAUCCCUGGAAAGCCGGUGGAAACUGUCGGGCUAGAGUCCGGAAGAGGCGAGUGGAAUUCCUGGUGUAGCGGUGAAAUG
Molecule: ribosomal RNA, 438 nt
Filed under: uncultured soil bacterium
Lineage: Bacteria
Description: bacterial SSU rRNA
Rfam family: Bacterial small subunit ribosomal RNA
Source: RNAcentral